RNAcentral lists this ribosomal RNA (253 nucleotides) under uncultured bacterium. RNAcentral describes it as "partial 16S ribosomal RNA". It matches the Rfam family "Bacterial small subunit ribosomal RNA", at positions 524 to 776 of the family's 1533-position model. The record is from RNAcentral.
UACGUAGGGGGCUAGCGUUGUCCGGAUUUAUUGGGCGUAAAGAGCGUGUAGGCGGCCAGAUAGGUCUGCUGUGAAAACUCGAGGCUCAACCUCGAGCUGUCGGCGGAAACCAUCCGGCUAGAGUCCGGAAGAGGAGAGUGGAAUUCCCGGUGUAGCGGUGAGAUGCGUAGAGAUGUGGAGGAACACCGAUGGCGAAGGCAGCCCCCUGGGCUAACACUGACGCUCAUGCACGAAAGCGUGGGGAGCAAACAGG